This 253-nucleotide ribosomal RNA is filed under the name uncultured bacterium. RNAcentral describes it as "partial 16S ribosomal RNA". It matches the Rfam family "Bacterial small subunit ribosomal RNA", at positions 524 to 776 of the family's 1533-position model. The record is from RNAcentral.
UACGAAGGGGGCUAGCGUUGCUCGGAUUGACUGGGCGUAAAGGGCGCGUAGGCGGCUUGUCCAGUCAGACGUGAAAUUCCUGGGCUCAACCUGGGGGCUGCGUUUGAUACGUAUGGGCUUGAGUUCGGAAGAGGGUCGUGGAAUUCCCAGUGUAGAGGUGAAAUUCGUAGAUAUUGGGAAGAACACCGGUGGCGAAGGCGGCGACCUGGUCCGAUACUGACGCUGAGGCGCGAAAGCGUGGGGAGCAAACAGG